GAUCCUGGCUCAGGAUGAACGCUAGCUACAGGCUUAACACAUGCAAGUCGAGGGGCAGCAUGGUCUUAGCUUGCUAAGGCCGAUGGCGACCGGCGCNCGGGUGAGUAACACGUAUCCAACCUGCCGUCUACUCUUGGACAGCCUUCUGAAAGGAAGAUUAAUACAAGAUGGCAUCAUGAGUUCACAUGUUCACAUGAUUAAAGGUAUUCCGGUAGACAAUGGGGA
Molecule: ribosomal RNA, 225 nt
Filed under: uncultured bacterium
Lineage: Bacteria
Description: partial 16S ribosomal RNA
Rfam family: Bacterial small subunit ribosomal RNA
Source: RNAcentral